UUAGGGAGACCUCCCAACUCAAUGGAUUGAACAGAAGCGAGACUGGGAACAGUCGAGUUUGCAAGUAAGUUCAGAGUUGGUCAUCCCAAAGGUCGUUCAGAUAUACGUGUUGGCUUCCAAGCUAUUUGGUUCGGUUCAUGGGCUAUUAGCUCAGGUGGUUAGAGCGCACCCCUGAUAAGGGUGAGGUCCCUGGUUCGAGUCCAGGAUGGCCCACCUUUACAAACAUAAGGGGGUUUAGCUCAGUUGGUAGAGCGCCUGCUUUGCAAGCAGGAUGUCAACGGUUCGAGUCCGUUAACCUCCACUGAGAGAUUAAGUUGAGAUUGAGCCAGAGCCAACGGAAGUUAGAAAACAACUUCAGCAAUUAUUCUUGUAUAAAGCUACAGGGAUAUCUGCUGGAUUUAGAUUCAGCAACGAACCUUGAAAACUGCAUAGAGAAGAAUGUCAGGUAGAAACGAUAGUUUCGAGCAAUAGACAGAAGAAUGGCGAAGCGAUUUGCUGUUUGAUGUUUGUUGUUAGGGACGAAUCAAAUACAGACACCAAUGUAAGUUUGCGAAAAAGU
Molecule: transfer RNA, 559 nt
Filed under: Pegethrix sichuanica CCNU0013
Lineage: Bacteria; Bacillati; Cyanobacteriota; Cyanophyceae; Oculatellales; Oculatellaceae
Description: Pegethrix sp. CCNU0013 partial 16S-23S ribosomal RNA intergenic spacer
Rfam family: tRNA (bases 229-301)
Source: RNAcentral